UACGUAGGGUGCAAGCGUGUCCGGAAUUAUUGGGCGUAAAGAGCUCGUAGGCGGUUUGUCGCGUCUGCUGUGAAAACCCGAGGCUCAACCUCGGGCCGCAGUGGGGUACGGGCAGACUAGAGUGCGGUAGGGGAGAUUGGAAUCCUGGUGUAGCGGUGGAAUGCGCAGAUAUCAGGAGGAACACCAAUGGCGAAGGCAGAUCUCUGGGCCGUAACUGACGCUGAGGAGCGAAAGCAUGGGGAGCGAACAGG
This 251-nucleotide ribosomal RNA is filed under the name uncultured bacterium. Its description in RNAcentral is "partial 16S ribosomal RNA". It matches the Rfam family "Bacterial small subunit ribosomal RNA", at positions 524 to 776 of the family's 1533-position model. The record is from RNAcentral.